GACGAACGCUGGCGGCGUGCUUAACACAUGCAAGUCGAACGGAAAGGCCCUGCUCUUGUGGGUUGCUCGAUUGGCGAACGGGUGAGUAACACGUGAGUAACCUCCCCUUGUCUUUGUGAUAACUUCAGGAAACUGGGGCUAAUACCGGAUAGGAGCUCCUGCUGCAUGGUGGGGGUUGGAAAGUUUCGGCGGUUGGGGAUGGACUCGCGGCUUAUCAGCUUGUUGGUGGGGUAGUGGCUUACCAAGGCUUUGACGGGUAGCCGGCCUGAGAGGGUGACCGGCCACAUUGGGACUGAGAUACGGCCCAGACGCCUACGGGAGGCAGCAGGGGGGAAUAUUGCGCAGUGGGCGGAAGCCUGAUGCAGCAACGCCGCGUGCGGAAUGACGGCUUUCGGGUUGUAAACCACUUUCGCAUGUGACGAAGAGUGAGUGACGGUAAUGGGUAAAGAAGCACCGGCUAACUACGUG
RNAcentral lists this ribosomal RNA (468 nucleotides) under uncultured bacterium. RNAcentral describes it as "partial 16S ribosomal RNA". It matches the Rfam family "Bacterial small subunit ribosomal RNA", at positions 28 to 507 of the family's 1533-position model. The record is from RNAcentral.